UAGGAAUCUAUGUAGAGUGGAACAGCUCUCCUCCUUCACACCACGACACCUCUCUCAAUGUCCGGGCUAUUUCAACAGAAGAACGCUUUCAGACACCACGCUGUAAUAUCCCCAGGUUUGUAUAGAGUUCCUCCAGGAUACCACAGCGAUGAACCGCUCAUCCUCUUGGAUGGAGGAAGAACUUGGGAAGCUGCCAGCAUCAGCCAGCUCAGUGUCCGGCUACAGGAGGCAUGAAAUCCAGGAAGGGGGUUUCAUGGCUAAGUGGGGCUAAGCAGAGGAGAGCAGGGCGUGUUAGAGUCAUUUCAUGGAGCAUUUGACGGAGGGAAGUUGGACAGAAUGCUGUCGGAGUCAAUGCUUGUAGGAUUUGGAUGUUCUUUUUUUUCUUUCUGUGCUACAUGCUCGAUGGAGGUCUGUGUUUCCUGAUUCAGGGAGUUUAUUAGUAUAAUGUUAAUAAUAAAGUAAUGUUUCUUUUGGGCCUAGUUUAGUUUUCCUGUGUUGAGGAUAGUUAUAUUUAUUGUUUUUGGGGCUUGGCCACCCUGGUAACUUAUUUUCUUCUUCGUUCUGUUUGUAUUAUUUUGGCUACACUUGUUUUGUUUCUCUUCAAAAAUCUAUUUCCAUCUUUUCCCCUCUCACCUUAGCUUUAUGCAACCAUUAGCCCCAAAUGUCCCCCUACGUUUGAGCAGAAAGAUGGUCCAGCCUGAAUGUCUAGAAGAAGAUAAAACAUAUACCUUCCCCAA
Molecule: long non-coding RNA, 737 nt
Organism: Sebastes umbrosus (honeycomb rockfish)
Lineage: Eukaryota; Metazoa; Chordata; Actinopteri; Perciformes; Sebastidae
Exons: 2
Source: RefSeq, a predicted model, not a curated record